ACGAACGCUGGCGGCGUGCUUAACACCUGCAAGUCGAACGGUGAAGCGCCUUCCUUUUUGGUGGGUGUGGAUGAGUGGCGAACGGGUGAGUAACACGUGAGUAACCUGCCCCCUUCUUCUGGAUAACCGCAUGAAAGUGUGGCUAAUACGGGAUAUUCUGGGUCUGUCGCAUGAUGGGUCUGGGAAAGAUAUUGUUUCGGUGGGGGAUGGGCUCGCGGCCUAUCAGCUUGUUGGUGGGGUGAUGGCCUACCAAGGCGGUGACGGGUUGCCGGCCUGAGAGGGUGGCCGGUCACACUGGGACUGAGACACGGCCCAGACUCCUACGGGAGGCAGCGGUGGGGAAUAGUGCACAAUGGGCGCAAGCCUGAUGCAGCGACGCCGCGUGAGGGAUGGAGGCCUUCGGGUUGUGAACCUCUUUCGCCAGUGAAGCAGGCCUGCCUCGUUUGUGGGUGGGUUGACGGUAGCUGGAUAAGAAGCGCCGGCUAACUACGUG
RNAcentral lists this ribosomal RNA (493 nucleotides) under uncultured bacterium. RNAcentral's name for it is "partial 16S ribosomal RNA". It matches the Rfam family "Bacterial small subunit ribosomal RNA", at positions 29 to 507 of the family's 1533-position model. The record is from RNAcentral.